Molecule: non-coding RNA, 138 nt
Organism: Ailuropoda melanoleuca (giant panda)
Lineage: Eukaryota; Metazoa; Chordata; Mammalia; Carnivora; Ursidae
Source: Rfam
GUCUCCGGCCAUACCACCCUGAACGCGCCCGAUCUCCUCUGAUCUCGGAAGCUAAGCAGGGUCGGGCCUGGUUAGUACUUGGAUGGGAGAAGCCUUUCUGAUUCCCUAACUGAGAUGGAAUGCUUGCAGAUGCAGAUU